ACGGGAGGCAGCAGUGGGGGAUAUUGGACAAUGGAGGAAACUCUGAUCCAGCGACGCCGCGUGAGUGAAGAAGUAUUUCGGUAUGUAAAGCUCUAUCAGCAGGGAAGAAAAAGCGCAAGCAUUGACUGUACCUGACUAAGAAGCCCCGGCUAACUACGUGCCAGCAGCCGCGGUAAUACGUAGGGGGCAAGCGUUAUCCGGAUUUACUGGGUGUAAAGGGAGCGUAGGCGGCGAUGCAAGUCAGAUGUGAAAACCCGGGGCUCAACCCCGUGGACUGCAUUUGAAACUGUCAAGCUAGAGUGCAGGAGGGGUAAGCGGAAUUCCUAGUGUAGCGGUGAAAUGCGUAGAUAUUAGGAGGAACACCGGUGGCGAAGGCGGCUUACUGGACUGUAACUGACGUUGAGGCUCGAAAGCGUGGGGAGCAAACAGGAUUAGAUACCCUGGUA
Molecule: ribosomal RNA, 446 nt
Filed under: uncultured Clostridium sp.
Lineage: Bacteria; Bacillati; Bacillota; Clostridia; Eubacteriales; Clostridiaceae
Description: partial 16S ribosomal RNA
Rfam family: Bacterial small subunit ribosomal RNA
Source: RNAcentral